Oncorhynchus tshawytscha (Chinook salmon) is the source of this 3746-nucleotide long non-coding RNA. Lineage: Eukaryota; Metazoa; Chordata; Actinopteri; Salmoniformes; Salmonidae. The record is from Ensembl.
GAAAAUCCAGAAAAUCACAUUGUAGAAUUUUUAAUGAAUUUAUUUGCAAAUUAUGGUGGAAAAUAAGUAUUUGGCCAAUAACAAAAGUUUAUCUCAAUACUUUGUUAUAUACCCUUUGUUGGCAAUGACAGAGGUCAAACGUUUUCUGUAAGUCUUCACAAGGUUUUCACACACUGUUGCUGGUAUUUUGGCCCAUUCCUCCAUGCAGAUCUCCUCUAGAGCAGUGAUGUUUUGGGGCUGUUGCUGGGCAACACGGACUUUCAACUCCCUCCAAAGAUUUUCUAUGGGGUUGAGAUCUGGAGACUGGCUAGGCCACUCCAGGACCUUGAAAUGCUUCUUACGAAGCCACUCCUUCGUUGCCCGGGCGGUGUAUUUGGGAUCAUUGUCAGGCUGAAAGACCCAGCCACGUUUCAUCUUCAAUGCCCCACGGGGUGAGAUCUUGCGUGGAGCCCCAGAUGGAGGGAGAUUAUCAGUGGUCUUGUAUGUCUUCCAUUUCCUAAUAAUUGCUCCCACAGUUGAUUUCUUCUAACCAAGCUGCUUACCUAUUGCAGAUUCCUUCUUCCCAGUCUGGUGCAGGUCUACAAUUUUGUUUCUGGUGUCCUUUGACAGCUCUUUGGUCUUGGCCAUAGUGGAGUUUGGAGUGUGACUGUUUGAGGUUGUGGACAGGUGUCUUUUAUACUGAUAACAAGUUCAAACAGGUGCCAUUAAUACAGGUAACGAGUGGAGGACAGAGGAGCCUCUAAAAGAAGAAUUUACAGGUCUGUGAGAGCCAGAAAUCUUGCUUGUUUGUAGGUGACCAAAUACUUAUUUUCCACCAUAAUUUGCAAAUAAAUUCAUUAAAAAUCCUACAAUGUGAUUUUCUGGAUUUUUUUCUCAUUUUGUCUGUCAUAGUUGAAGUGUACCUAUGAUGAAAAUUACAGGCCUCUCAUCUUUUUAAGUGGGAGAACUUGCACAAUUGGUGGCUGACUAAAUACUUUUUUGCCCCACUGUAAGUAGUUUUUUGGGGUAUCUGUACUUUACUAUUUAUAUUUUGCCUACUUUUACUUGACUACAUUCCUGAAGAAAAUGAUGUACUUUUUACUCCAUACAUUUUCCCUGACACCCAAAUAAUUUGUUAUGCUUAGUAGGACAGGAAAAGGGUCAAAUGAAUGCACUAAUCAAGAGAACAUCCCUGGUCAUCACUACUGCCUCUGAUCUGGAGGAGUCACGAAACACAAAUGCUUUGUUUGUAAGUCAUGUGAGUGUUGUAGUGUGCCCUUGGCUAUCCAUAAAUUAAAAAGAUUUGCUUAAUGUAAGGAAUUUGAAAUGAUUUAUACUUUUACGUUUAACUAAGUAUAUUUUAGCAAUUACAUUUACUUUUGAUACUUAAGUAUAUUUAAAACCAAAUACUUUUAGACUUACUCAAGUAGUAUUUUACUGGGUGACUUUCAUUUUUACUUGAGUCAUUUUCUGUUAAGGUAUCUUUACUUUUACUCAAGUAUGCUCAUAUCUCACCCUCCACUCCCCACUCCCUCCCACUGGCAUAUGGUUUUCUUCCACUGUUUGGUUCUCUUCUUUGUGUUGUAUCCUGACUAUACCGUCACUGUGCUGUGUAAUGUUUCCCUCUGCUGGACAACACACACACCAAAACGCUCAUAAGAAAACAUACAUUUAAUAUUGACAAACUAAAACAACCAAAAUACACACACUUUUGGAUGUACAUACACAUACUCACCCAACGAAACAAACACACACACUCACUUACCUCUCCUAAUCUCUAGGCUAUACCUCCCCUCUUUUCCACUUUCUUACACUUAAACCUAUUUGUAUGGUUUUGUAAAUAGUUAUUUUUUGUAAUGAGAAUGUGAUUUUUACACAGACACCCCACUGCUCUCCUUACAUUAAGUUGUUAUGGAGAAAUGGGAACAUUAAUCGUAUCAACUGUAUUACUAAAGACAAGAGUGUAUGUAAAGGUCCUGGUCCACUCUAAAUCAGGCCUGGAUUGGCCCUCUCCUCGUCCCAAACUGGCAGCCAUUCUGCAUCAAACCAGGUGCCCUUCUGGACCAAGGUUGGAGUCAACCAAAGAUGACUCGUGGUUUUAUGCUAACAAUAGAAUCCCCUCAUGGUUUAGUUUCUCUUGUAAUAGUUCACCUGCCAGCCCAUAUUGGGCCAGUAACCAAAAUGUUGCUGGAUCGAAUCCCCGAGCUGACAAAGUAAAAAUCUGUGGUUCUGCCGCUGAGCAAGGCAGUUAACCCACUCUUCCCCGGGCAACGAUGACAUCGAUUAAGGCAACCCCCCCCGUGCCUCUCUGAUUCAGAGGGGUUGGGUUGAAUGCAUUCAGUUGUACAGCUGACUAGGUAUCCCCCUGUGAAUGCAUUCAGCAGUACAGCUGACUAGGGGUCCCCCUGUGAAUGCAUUCAGCAGUACAGCUGACUAGGGGUCCCCCUGUGAAUGCAUUCAGCAGUACAGCUGACUAGGGGUCCCCCUGUGAAUGCAUUCAGCAGUACAGCUGACUAGGGGUCCCCCUGUGAAUGCAUUCAGCAGUACAGCUGACUAGGGGUCCCCCUGUGAAUGCAUUCAGCAGUACAGCUGACUAAGUAUCCCCCUGUGAAUGCAUUCAGCAGUACAGCUGACUAGGGGUCCCCCUGUGAAUGCAUUCAACAGUACAGCUGACUAGGUGUCCCCCUGUGAAUACAUUCAGCAGUACAGCUGACUAAGUAUCCCCCUGUGAAUACAUUCAGCAGUACAGCUGACUAGGUAUCCCCCUGUGAAUGCAUUCAGCAGUACAGCUGACUAAGUAUCCCCCUGUGAAUACAUUCAGCAGUACAGCUGACUAAGUAUCCCCCUGUGAAUACAUUCAGCAGUACAGCUGACUAGGUAUCCUCCUUUCCCUAUACACCAAAGUCAGUGAAUUAGGACAAAGUGCACUGUAUACUACUAUCACAAUCUUGAGGGGUCUGUUGCUUUUACAUUUUAAGUCAUUUAGCAGACGCUUUUAUCCAGAGCGACUUACAGAAGCAAUUGUGGUUAAGUGCCUUGGUCUAGGGCACCUUGUCAUCUCGGGGAUUCGAACCAGUGACCUUUCAGUUACUGGCCCAGCGCUCUUAACUGCUAGGCCAAAACUGACAGCAGCUACAAAAUACUACACAGAUGGCUUGACUAUGUUUGGGUCAGAAUGUGUGUUCCUUGGUGCACAUACAAAUACAUCUGCAGUUUGAUUUAGUUCUAUUUUAAAAUAAUAAGACGAUAAAUAAUGCAGUAACAAAAGAAAAGUGUUCUGAGUUUUAACACUUCAUUUCAUCUUGUUACAACGUACCCUCUGUUUUGUAAAGAUUUGUCUGAUGAGAACAAUAAAUGGAUAUUGCAAUAAAAAGGAUGUUGAGUGUUCGCUCUUGCCUUUUAUGAGGGCAGGACACAUUCUGUUUUACUGUCAUUGAUUUUAUCCUUUGACCAAUCACAAUGCUGAUUGUUGCUCAAACGUGGCCCAGGGUGUGGAUCAUAGCCAACAGGAAUGUCUUAUACUUUUUAAUCACUGUUCUCAUUUUAUUUUCUCUAUUGGACAUAAUAUGCACUUCUGCCUCAGCAACAAUCUCUAAAGGUUUGAGAAGAACAUAAUAGUAGGGUUACUCCCACCUGCUGGUGAGAGAUACGCAUUACAUGUAAAUCAUUUAUAUUAUUAGUCAAUGCAGAGCUGCAAAGUCUGAGUUGAUAACUCUCUAACCUCUGUGAAUAUACAAGUUGUUUUGGAAGAUUAAAUAUUCACUUAC